AAUUGAGUUAGAGGUUGCGUUUUUAAUCAGUAACAAUCUGUAAGCUAUUUGGAGCGUAUGUAGGAUUUGUGAAAGGUAAAAAUGCCGAAAUCAAAAGUGACCAUUUUUCACUAUUGGUUGGGUCAGUUUUCGAAAGAGACUGGACUGUCACAUAUGUGAUGUGCUACCUAUAUA
Non-coding RNA from Staphylococcus cohnii subsp. cohnii, 174 nucleotides. The record is from Rfam. Lineage: Bacteria; Bacillati; Bacillota; Bacilli; Caryophanales; Staphylococcaceae.